Molecule: ribosomal RNA, 328 nt
Filed under: uncultured eukaryote
Lineage: Eukaryota
Description: partial 18S ribosomal RNA
Rfam family: Eukaryotic small subunit ribosomal RNA
Source: RNAcentral
CCCUUAGAUGUCCUGGGCCGCACGCGCGUUACACUGAUGCAUUCAACGAGCUUAUAACCUUGGCCGAGAGGCCUGGGCAAUCUUGUUAACGUGCAUCGUGAUAGGGAUAGAUUAUUGAAAUUAUUAAUCUUGAACGAGGAAUUCCUAGUAAACGCAGAUCAUCAAUCUGCAUUGAUUACGUCCCUGCCCUUUGUACACACCGCCCGUCGCACCUACCGAUUGGAUGGUCCGGUGAGGCUUUGGGAUCUGAGCGGAAAGAGCGUUUCGCUGUUUCUGCCCGGAAAACUCAGUCGAACCUUAUCAUUUAGAGGAAGGAGAAGUCGUAACA